UUUUUAUUUAUUAACAGACAGAUGAUAAUUACCUCUAUGCACUCAACGUUUUUAUCCAGAGAGCGCUUUUUAAAACAAGUAAUAAACAUUAAGCAAAAGGAAAACAUGACUGGGAAGUAAAGCUAUAUUGCAACCCCAAGGAACACUAGGCCCAAAAUAGCAUUGCUGAGCAGAUGAGCUCUGGCCACAGCUAUCCGCCCAAUCACCAGCCAGCAUCGACUCUAGAGAGUUGGGCUAUACACACUUCCUCAAUGCAGCAGCCUCAAGGAAGCGAGGGUCAGUCACAUGCGAUGGCUGAAGAUGGCUGUAACAAAGCCGGGAUUGUUACCACAGACGCUCAAGAUCCUAAGGGCACAGAAGAACACUUCCAAACAACCGUGCACAUUUAUUCCGCAAAGACCACCCCCUUGGCUCUUCUGAAGGAGAGGGCCACAGCACCCCUGGGGCCGGGUGGACUCACUCGGUGAGAUGGUCCUGGAUGAAGGAAACUGAAGCUGACCACCCUCACACAAGUGUUCUUUUGCCUGGCCCCACGGCGGACAGAAGCAGCCCCUUUCCUCAGGUUGAAACUGACAGCAAUUCCGGGCAGAAAAGCAAGAGAAAUCCCUCCCAUGCCCUCUGGGAGCCCAAGCACCACAUGGUAUCCGCAGCGCUUCUGAACCAAAGACCAAACUGUCUCGGCAAUGAUUCAAAAUCAAAAUAAAGCAGGACAGGAAGCAA
Mesocricetus auratus (golden hamster) is the source of this 720-nucleotide long non-coding RNA. RefSeq lists it as uncharacterized. The transcript has 2 exons. The record is from RefSeq and is a predicted model, not a curated record. Lineage: Eukaryota; Metazoa; Chordata; Mammalia; Rodentia; Cricetidae.